RNAcentral lists this ribosomal RNA (468 nucleotides) under uncultured bacterium. RNAcentral describes it as "partial 16S ribosomal RNA". It matches the Rfam family "Bacterial small subunit ribosomal RNA", at positions 28 to 507 of the family's 1533-position model. The record is from RNAcentral.
GACGAACGCUGGCGGCGUGCUCAACACAUGCAAGUCGAACGGACAGGCCCUGCAUUUGUGGGGUGCUCGAGUGGCGAACGGGUGAGUAACACGUGAGUAACCUGCCCUUGACUUUGGGAUAACUUCAGGAAACUGGGGCUAAUACCGGAUAGGAGCUCCUGCUGCAUGGUGGGGGUUGGAAAGUUUCUUCGCUUGGGGAUGGACUCGCGGCUUCUCAGCUGGUUGGUGGGGUAGUGGCUUACCAAGGCUUUGACGGGUAGCCGACCUGAGAGUCUGACCAGAGACUAAGGGACUGAGAUACGGAGCAGAGACCUACGGGAAGCAGCAGUGGGGAAUAUUAUGAAGUGAGCGGAAGCCUGAUGCAGCAACGGCGCGUGCGGGAAGAGGGCCUUCGAGUUGUAAACCGCUGUGGGUGGUAAUGAAGCAUGAGAGACGGUAAUUGAUAAAGAAGCACCGGCUAACUACGUG